Molecule: ribosomal RNA, 343 nt
Filed under: Escherichia coli
Lineage: Bacteria; Pseudomonadati; Pseudomonadota; Gammaproteobacteria; Enterobacterales; Enterobacteriaceae
Description: partial 23S ribosomal RNA
Rfam family: Bacterial large subunit ribosomal RNA
Source: RNAcentral
UGUUUCGGCAAGGGGGUCAUCCCGACUUACCAACCCGAUGCAAACUGCGAAUACCGGAGAAUGUUAUCACGGGAGACACACGGCGGGUGCUAACGUCCGUCGUGAAGAGGGAAACAACCCAGACCGCCAGCUAAGGUCCCAAAGUCAUGGUUAAGUGGGAAACGAUGUGGGAAGGCCCAGACAGCCAGGAUGUUGGCUUAGAAGCAGCCAUCAUUUAAAGAAAGCGUAAUAGCUCACUGGUCGAGUCGGCCUGCGCGGAAGAUGUAACGGGGCUAAACCAUGCACCGAAGCUGCGGCAGCGACGCUUAUGCGUUGUUGGGUAGGGGAGCGUUCUGUAAGCCUG